RNAcentral lists this ribosomal RNA (253 nucleotides) under uncultured bacterium. RNAcentral describes it as "partial 16S ribosomal RNA". It matches the Rfam family "Bacterial small subunit ribosomal RNA", at positions 524 to 776 of the family's 1533-position model. The record is from RNAcentral.
UACGAAGGGGGCUAGCGUUGUUCGGAAUCACUGGGCGUAAAGCGCACGUAGGCGGCUUUUUAAGUCAGGGGUGAAGUCCUGGAGCUUAACUCCAGAACUGCCUUUGAUACUGAGGAGCUAGAGUCCGGAAGAGGUAAGUGGAACUGCGAGUGUAGAGGUGAAAUUCGUAGAUAUUCGCAAGAACACCAGUGGCGAAGGCGGCUUACUGGUCCGGUACUGACGCUGAGGAGCGAAAGCGUGGGGAGCGAACAGG